RNAcentral lists this ribosomal RNA (253 nucleotides) under uncultured bacterium. RNAcentral's name for it is "partial 16S ribosomal RNA". It matches the Rfam family "Bacterial small subunit ribosomal RNA", at positions 524 to 776 of the family's 1533-position model. The record is from RNAcentral.
UACGAAGGGGGCUAGCGUUGCUCGGAAUCACUGGGCGUAAAGCGCACGUAGGCGGCUUGUUAAGUCAGGGGUGAAAUCCUGGAGCUCAACUCCAGAACUGCCUUUGAUACUGAGGGCCUUGAGACCGGAAGAGGUCGGCGGAACUGCGAGUGUAGAGGUGAAAUUCGUAGAUAUUCGCAAGAACACCAGUGGCGAAGGCGGCCGACUGGUCCGGUUCUGACGCUGAGGCGCGAAAGCGUGGGGAGCAAACAGG